AGGGUUUGAUUAUGGCUCAGGAUGAACGCUGGCGGCGUGCUUAACACAUGCAAGUCGAACGAAGCACCUUAUUCUGAUUUCUUCGGAAUGAAAAAUUUGGUGACUGAGUGGCGGACGGGUGAGUAACGCGUGGGUAACCUGCCUCAUACAGGGGGAUAACAGUUAGAAAUGACUGCUAAUACCGCAUAAGACCACAGCACCGCAUGGUGCAGGGGUAAAAACUCCGGUGGUAUGAGAUGGACCCGCGUCUGAUUAGGUAGUUGGUGGGGUAACGGCCUACCAAGCCGACGAUCAGUAGCCGACCUGAGAGGGUGACCGGCCACAUUGGGACUGAGACACGGCCCAA
RNAcentral lists this ribosomal RNA (346 nucleotides) under uncultured bacterium. RNAcentral's name for it is "bacterial SSU rRNA". It matches the Rfam family "Bacterial small subunit ribosomal RNA", at positions 8 to 334 of the family's 1533-position model. The record is from RNAcentral.